This 77-nucleotide ribosomal RNA is filed under the name Devosia crocina. The record is from RNAcentral. Lineage: Bacteria; Pseudomonadati; Pseudomonadota; Alphaproteobacteria; Hyphomicrobiales; Devosiaceae.
CCCGAACUCGACCGUCAAAUCCCGCUGCGCCAAUGGUACUAAGUCUCAAGACUUGGGAGAGUAGGGCACCGCAAGGU